GAAUAAUUUUAAAUGGCCGCAGUAUUUUGACUGUGCAAAGGUAGCAUAAUCAUUAGUCUUUUAAUUGAAGGCUGGUAUGAACGGUUGGACGAAGUAUAAGCUGUUUCAUAUAAAUUUAUAAUAGAAUUUUAUAUUUUAGUUAAAAAGCUAAAAUUUUAUUAAAAGACGAGAAGACCCUAUAAAUCUUUAUAUUUAAUACUAACUAAAUUUUUUUGAUUUAUUUUAUUUUUUUAAUAUUAAGUAUUUUGUUGGGGUGAUAUUAAAAUUUAAUGAACUUUUAAUUUUUAAAGCCAUUAAUUUAUGAAUUAUUGAUCCAUUAAUAAUGAUUAUAAGAUUAAGUUACUUUAGGGAUAACAGCGUAAUUUUUUUUGAGAGUUCAUAUCGACAAAAAAGUUUGCGACCUCGAUGUUGGAUUAAGGUAUAAUUUUGGGUGUAGCUGUUCAAAAAUUAAGUCUGUUCGACUUUUAAAUCCUUACAUGAUC
RNAcentral lists this ribosomal RNA (482 nucleotides) under Anastrepha tecta. RNAcentral's name for it is "partial small subunit ribosomal RNA". It matches the Rfam family "Bacterial large subunit ribosomal RNA", at positions 1914 to 2605 of the family's 2925-position model. The record is from RNAcentral. Lineage: Eukaryota; Metazoa; Arthropoda; Insecta; Diptera; Tephritidae.